CUCUCUUGCUCCUCCUCACUCCUUCAAGAGUCCAAGUCCUGAUCACAGGGCCACCAGUCCCUAAUGGUAGCCCGUGGACAGAGAGAGUCAAGGGCAGGGAGGGUCUUGAUUCCUCCUGGGCAUCUCAGCAUGUGGGCAAAGAACAGCCUGGAAGGAGGCAGGAGAGGAGAAGAAAGAACAAGAGGAGAGGAGGGUCCCCGCCUGAGCGACUGUGAUGAUGGGGAGAAGCCUGGAGGCCAGAGCUCGGCGCCCUUUGACCCCCCUCUCCCCGCCCCCACCCUUCAAAUGUCCCCAGCUCAGCCUGGCUUGCUGGCUGGUCUCCCAGGUCUGAAACAACACCCUGGGGGCAUUUCCCAGCAAGCACGCCUUGUGUUGGAUGCUGGACCUAAUAUCCUAAUAUUCCUCUGCGCCCUGAAAGUGGAGGUGACCUUUCGCGGGGUCAUCAAGAGUUCUGCAUUAGGCUAUCCAGACGCUUUGUUCACUGACAACGAUGUUCUCUCUCACAGGAGCCCUCUCCUUGGUCUUCUGUCCAGGGGACGGGUCCCCGACAGGAGACUCAAAGGUUACAACCUCUGAGCACAGAUGAUAAGCUCACAAAAGAAAGUCACACAGACAAAAAUAAAGCUGGUUGAAUGAGCGGAAAUGAAUGGUCUAGACUCGGAGACUCUCUGCCAAGCCCACUACUGUUCUUCUCCCUCCUUGGCAGGAAGGGCGGGUGAGGGCCUGUUUAAAUGCAAAGUAUGUGAGUGUAGCUCACAUUCCACAAAACGCUUGUGUUGCAUCCCGGCUGAGUAGCUGUCUCAGGGGCAAACACCCAUACAAGGAAUAUGCGUCUGCAGUGGCGGCGGCAGGAGGCUGAGAUGCGCCUGGCUUCUCUGAGCAGUGAGCGAGCAUCCUGACUCUGCUGCCUCAAGCUGUGCUCCAUCCACACUGAAAGAGGAGCCAGGCCCUUCCUGGAAAAAAAGGGCUUCCAGAGCCAGAGGAACCAGGUAAGUAGCGGUCAAGCAAAGAGUCCAAAGAAUAGAACAACCUGGUCAACAGUGUGGUGCCACCAAAGCGAAACAACCUAAGUCGCAUGUCUACCAUGGGCCAUGCACCAUGCCAGGUACUAGGAAUGAAGCAAUCAAGAAACAAGAUCCUUUCAAGCCAGGAACUUACGGUCUUGUGUGAGAGCUGGGGCAUGAGUACAUAUAUGUUUAAUACUCAUAUGAAAGGGGUUCUUAUGUGUCAUAAGAAAAAUCAAGACAAAGGAGCACAGGGAUUCAGAGCCUCACUUCUCUCCCCUCUAAAAGGGAGCAAAGCAUAACAUCUGUUCCACUGGGUCACAGGUUUGAGUGAGACCAUUUCUGUGAGACUGGCUCUGCCCAUGCUGCAACAUCACAUGAAUGCUGGUUGUGACACAUGGGCCCCAGGGGCUUAUAGCUCUGUGGGAUUCUGCAGCAAGGACAAGGAUGCCAAGCUUCUCCUGAAGUUCCUAAGGGGCACAUCUUCUACUUUCUCCCUUCUCCCACCUGGAGCCCACAGACUAUCAUUUUCAAUUAUUUUCUCACCAGUGCCCUGAGUCCCUUCUGCCCAGUCCCCACUCUAUUGAGUGGGUGCUUCAUAAAUGAAGAUGUGCUUGCCUGAACUUUAAUUAGUAUGGUGGAAUGUGCUUUAGAAUCACAAGCCCCGGGUGGAGUUCCGACUUGAUCAAGUCAUUUGAUUUCUCUAAGCCUCAAUUUUUAUCAUCUGUAAAGGAGGACCAUGGGGCCUCAGCGGCAAUAACAUCUAUGCAAUGAGUCUGUAAGUGGUAAAUACGAAGAGAGCCUGCAGAAGCAUGAGGGCUUAUUAGUACUCUCAGUGGUGUGAACGGCUGACACAUACUGACACCCACCCAAGUGGGUGCCCAAUGCUGACUGGGCACUUAGAGCCAAGAGACCU
Long non-coding RNA from Sus scrofa (pig), 1920 nucleotides. RefSeq lists it as uncharacterized. The record is from RefSeq and is a predicted model, not a curated record. Lineage: Eukaryota; Metazoa; Chordata; Mammalia; Artiodactyla; Suidae.